CGCGAAUCGCCCUUCGGGGUGCACCAGGCGCGAAACCUCUGCAAUAGGCGAAAGCUUGACAGGGUUACUCUGAGUGAUUUCCGUUAAGGAAAUCUUUUGGCACCUCUAAAAAUGGUGCAGAAUAAGGGGUGGGCAAGUCUGGUGUCAGCCGCCGCGGUAAUACCAGCACCCCGAGUGGUCGGGACGUUUAUUGGGCCUAAAGCAUCCGUAGCCGGUUCUACAAGUCUUCCGUUAAAUCCAACUGCUUAACAGGUGGGCUGCGGAAGAUACUAUAGAUCUAGGAGGCGGGAGAGGCAAGCGGUACUCGAUGGGUAGGGGUAAAAUCCGUUGAUCCAUUGAAGACCACCAGUGGCGAAGGCGGCUUGCCAGAACGCGCUCGACGGUGAGGGAUGAAAGCUGGGGGAGCAAACCGGAUUAGAUACCCGGGUAGUCCCAGCUGUAAACGAUGCAGACUCGGUGAUGAGUUGGCUAUAUGCCAUCUCAGUGCCGCAGGGAAGCCGUUAAGUUUGCCGCCUGGGGAGUACGGUCGCAAGACUGAAACUUAAAGGAAUUGGCGGGGGAGCA
RNAcentral lists this ribosomal RNA (564 nucleotides) under uncultured archaeon. RNAcentral's name for it is "bacterial SSU rRNA". It matches the Rfam family "Archaeal small subunit ribosomal RNA", at positions 312 to 878 of the family's 1478-position model. The record is from RNAcentral.